Molecule: non-coding RNA, 67 nt
Organism: Gracilinanus agilis (Agile Gracile Mouse Opossum)
Lineage: Eukaryota; Metazoa; Chordata; Mammalia; Didelphimorphia; Didelphidae
Source: the annotation of a RefSeq genome assembly
CAGGAAGUAGUUUAAUUAGAACACCAGCUUUGGGAGUUGGCGGUAGGGUGAUAGGCCCUUUUCUUGA